GGUAGGGGAGCGUUCCCAGGGCGGAGAAGCUGAACUGGAAGGUUUGGUGGAGCGCUGGGAAGUGAGAAUGCCGGUAUGAGUAGCGAAAAGACAAGUGAGAAUCUUGUCCGCCGAAAGCCUAAGGGUUCCUGGGGAAGGCUCGUCCACCCAGGGUAAGUCGGGACCUAAGCGGAGGCCGAAGGGCGUACGCGAAGGGCAACGGGUAGAGAUUCCCGUACCACCGAGAUGCGUUUGACCGAUGGGGGGACGCAGGAGGAACAGGGGAGCGGCCGAAUGGAAGAGGCCGUCCAAGCACUGAGAGGGUCACGCAGGAAAAACCGCGUGGCAGACCUCAAGGUGUGAUGGGGAGCGAAGCAAAGUAGCGAAGCCCUGGGUUUCACACUGCCAAGAAAAGCCUCUAGGGAGUGUCAAGGUGCCCGUACCGUAAACCGACACAGGUAGGCGAGGAGAGAAUCCUCAGGCGCGCGGGAGAACUCUCGUUAAGGAACUCUGCAAAAUGGCCCCGUAACUUCGGGAGAAGGGGCGCUCUGAGAAGAGCCGCAGUGAAAAGGCCCAAGCGACUGUUUAGCAAAAACACAGGUCUCUGCAAAGCCGAAAGGCGAAGUAUAGGGGCUGACGCCUGCCCGGUGCUGGAAGGUUAAGAGGAGGGGUUAGCCCGCAAGGGCGAAGCUCAGAAUUGAAGCCCCAGUAAACGGCGGCCGUAACUAUAACGGUCCUAAGGUAGCGAAAUUCCUUGUCAGGUAAGUUCUGACCCGCACGAAUGGCGUAACGACUUGGGCGCUGUCUCAACGAGAGACCCGGUGAAAUUGUAAUACCUGUGAAGAUGCAGGUUACCCGCGGCUAGACGGAAAGACCCCGUGGAGCUUGACUGCAGCUUGAUAUGGAGGAAGGGUACGUCAUGUACAGGAUAGGUGGGAGACUGGGAAGCAGAGGCGCAAGCCUGUGUGGAGUCGACGUUGGGAUACCACCCUUGAGGUACUUUUCUUCUCACUUGGCGCCCUGAAGCGGGCGUGAGGACAGUGUCAGGUGGGCAGUUUGACUGGGGCGGUCGCCUCCUAAAAGGUAACGGAGGCGCCCAAGGGUUCCCUCAGCGCGGUUGGAAAUCGCGCGUGGAGUGUAAAGGCACAAGGGAGCUUGACUGCGAGACGUACAGGUCGAGCAGGGACGAAAGUCGGGCUUAGUGAUCCGGCGGCACUGCGUGGAAGGGCCGUCGCUCAACGGAUAAAAGCUACCCCGGGGAUAACAGGCUGAUCUCCCCCAAGAGUCCACAUCGACGGGGAGGUUUGGCACCUCGAUGUCGGCUCAUCGCAUCCUGGGGCUGAAGUCGGUCCCAAGGGUUGGGCUGUUCGCCCAUUAAAGCGGUACGCGAGCUGGGUUCAGAACGUCGUGAGACAGUUCGGUCCCUAUCUGCCGUGGGCGUAGGAGUUGUGAGAGGGGUCGUCCUUAGUACGAGAGGACCGGGAUGAACCGACCGCUGGUGUUCCAGUUGUGCCGCCAGGUGCAGCGCUGGGUAGCUACGUCGGGACGGGAUAAGCGCUGAAAGCAUCUAAGCGCGAAGCCCCCCUCAAGAUGACAACUCCCGCUCGAAAGAGGUAAGACCCCUUGUAGACGACAAGGUAGAUCGGUCCGGUGUGGAAGCACGGUGACGUGCGGAGCAGACGGAUACGAAUCGGUCGAGGGCUUAUCCAAC
RNAcentral lists this ribosomal RNA (1690 nucleotides) under Ferroacidibacillus organovorans. RNAcentral's name for it is "bacterial LSU rRNA". It matches the Rfam family "Bacterial large subunit ribosomal RNA", at positions 1227 to 2925 of the family's 2925-position model. Lineage: Bacteria; Bacillati; Bacillota; Bacilli; Caryophanales; Alicyclobacillaceae. The record is from RNAcentral.